Molecule: long non-coding RNA, 624 nt
Filed under: Panax ginseng (ginseng)
Lineage: Eukaryota; Viridiplantae; Streptophyta; Magnoliopsida; Apiales; Araliaceae
Description: long non-coding RNA (PGIN_LNC008319)
Source: RNAcentral
AGAAGUGGUAUAACACUGAGAAUCAAAACACAAGAACUUUACGUGAGUAGACCUAAUCUCAACCAUAUGGACUAUAAAGUCUCAUCUACAUAAUUUAGCAUUACUACAUUUCUAAACUACCCACGAAACCACCAUAUGUCUGUGUGCAUUAGCUUUAAAUAUAUUCUGUACAAAGAAGGUUCAAUAUGCUUGUUAUACUUAUACCAGAAGUAUAUAAUUAGAUGUGGAAAUGGAAGCCAUUUUUUACAUAAAUUGGUGCCCACUGUGGGUGACAGUUCUUUCCAAUAGGUCCAACUACUGAUCUUGAAUUUAUUUUUUUGAAAGCGACAAUGGAAUUUGAUUAAAAGGGGAUAUUUGCAGUAAAAGUGAGCUGCAAUAAUCAAACUUUAACAAGAGGAGAAGUUGAGAUGAUAAAAGGUUCAUACAUAGCAUACCAGUUUGAAUAAUAUAAUUGAAUUAACCCAGUUUUAUAGUCCUAUCCAAAAGGAUUUGGAAGUUUAGUAAGAAAUUAUACAUCACUUGUAAUUUUAAAUGAAAGAAACACAUCACAUAUAAUUAUUUUAUGGACAUGAAAAGGAGAAACUCAAGUUCAGAAGGAGACUAACAAAAAUUCUAUGAUUUAUA